RNAcentral lists this ribosomal RNA (330 nucleotides) under uncultured Anoxybacillus sp. RNAcentral describes it as "bacterial SSU rRNA". It matches the Rfam family "Bacterial small subunit ribosomal RNA", at positions 1049 to 1382 of the family's 1533-position model. The record is from RNAcentral. Lineage: Bacteria; Bacillati; Bacillota; Bacilli; Caryophanales; Anoxybacillaceae.
UUGUCGUCAGCUCGUGUCGUGAGAUGUGGUUAAGUCCGCAACGAGCGCAACCCUCGACCUUAGUUGCCAGCAUUCAGUUGGGCACUCUAAGGUGACUGCCGGCUAAAAGUCGGAGGAAGGUGGGGAUGACGUCAAAUCAUCAUGCCCCUUAUGACCUGGGCUACACACGUGCUACAAUGGGCGGUACAAAGGGUCGCGAACCCGCGAGGGGGAGCCAAUCCCAAAAAGCCGCUCUCAGUUCGGAUUGCAGGCUGCAACUCGCCUGCAUGAAGCCGGAAUCGCUAGUAAUCGCGGAUCAGCAUGCCGCGGUCGAAUACGUUCCCGGGCCUU